UUGUGAACUUCACAUCCUUAGAGGAAAUGUCAGGAAAAUUGAAGUCCUCAUGGUUUGGCUGAACAUUCUUCCUGGAACUUUUUGAAACAAGAACUCAAGGUGCAACAGUUAAAUUGGAUAACUUUUUCACAGUUUCAACUCUGAUACAAGAAUCUAAGGGGCAUAAGUAAAAAAUAAUGAGUGAGAGAUGGUACCAAAGACAAUACAUC
Long non-coding RNA from Symphalangus syndactylus (siamang), 209 nucleotides. RefSeq lists it as uncharacterized. Lineage: Eukaryota; Metazoa; Chordata; Mammalia; Primates; Hylobatidae. The record is from RefSeq and is a predicted model, not a curated record.